GCGUGUUAUUUGAUUAAAUUGAUAAUCGUUUUAUAUUUGCAGAUUACUGACAAAAUGUAGGUACACGUAUAAUUAUAAAAUAUUACAUUAAGUACUUAUAAUAUUUUUAUAAUAUUACAAUCAUGGUCAUAUACAUUACAGAUUUACAGUUUCACGUGGGCGCGUAGCGUACCUUAUGUAUAUCCACAUGUAUGCAUAUUAGACGUUUUGUAUAAUAAUGUGACAGUAUCAGGGUUGUGAGUGCCCUAGGGUCCGAACGCAUUAUAUUCUUGACUUUUAAUUUGAGAUGAUUUUUUUUUUUUGGAAACAAAAAUUCGAAAUUUACGACUUAACUAUUACCGGUUGAUACUGCUAAACAGUGAAUGGAUACUUAUUCUGUUGGCGCCUCUAAUUUUAUUUGAACGUUGUGGGUGCUCAGGUACCACGGACUCCCUCUUAAAUCCGGCAUUUUAAUAUUAUAUUGCAUGGUUUUCCAAAUUAUAUGCGACUGUCGCAAUGGAUUUCAUAAGAAAUAUAGGUGUUAUAUAAUACGAGUAUAUAUUUAUAGACCUAUUACCUACCUAUAUAUUUUGUGGAAAUUUGUGGGAUAACUUGUUAAACUCAAGUAGGAAUUAGAUUAGGGACAUAUAUUUGAUAUAUUUCAUUCCCAGCGAACGGUGGUUUGUAUAGGAAUUAUUUUCACUCCGGUUGGUCCAAUUUGUCACUGGCUAGGCUUAGCCAUAAUUAGAAAUUUGUUAAAGGACCAGUUUGGGCUAUAAUUAUGUCACAUACAAUAUAAAUGGAUACAGAUUUUCUUGAUGAUUCCUCUUGAACUUUUCCAGUCGACCUAUGUCUUAAAGUGUCGAAAACUCGAACCAUUUUUUUCAAAAGUUUCAAAAGUUGUAUUUGUACCAUGUAUAUGGGGUAGGAAAACAAUAUUCUCAGUAGAUCACGGAUGGACGAUGGUUGAAAAUUCAUCUUUACAACACUUGUUUAAAACAAAAAUAGUUUUUGCAAUAGGUACCACCAACAAAUAGUUUUUGUUUACUAAUAGGUAGGUAGGUACGUUUCUUAAGUUUCUAGAAUUUUGGUAUGCAUCAACCGGUCUAAUUGAACUAUGUUAUUUCACCAUGAGCAAAGUGAUCCCCCUCUCUUAUAUUCACCUCUGCUAGUGAAUGCAAUACACUGUCACAUAUUAUAAUUUGGAAAACUCUACACCUAUAUAAUAAUAAUAAUAUGUACUAUCCAUGGGUACUAUCGCAUUAAUUCACAUACCUACAUGUCAUUAUCGGCUACGAGACGAUAGGACGACAGUCGUUGGAUACAUUAACGAGUACCUAUUUUUGUCCGAGAACGGAUUAACAGGUUUUUUUUGUUCCAGACUUCCAGUGAUACAUGUCGACUUACACCGAAAUGUAAAAACAAAAAAACCCACGAAAAUUCACCCUUUCACAUUCCAUACAACUGUAUAAUAGUAUACUCGACUUAGGCCUAACUACUUAACCUAGUCUUUAAUGAACAUUACAUGUAUAUAUUUUAUAAUAGUUUGAUAAUGCGUGUAUAAUGUGUAUUUAUGGUAUUUAUGUUUGUAUAAUAUUAUGUUAUGUACUGUUAUAGCGGUUCGGAAAUUCGGCGCAGCAUGUUUAGGCACUUUCACCUGUUCCGUAUUCAAAAUUCACAUAACGUUUGAGCACUUAAUAUCCCUAAAAACAGCAUGUUUAGGCAUUCAAAUAAAAAAAGUAUCUAUAUAAAAUAUAUACAUACAUUUAUCUGCUAUAUAUUAUACAAAUAUAAAC
Non-coding RNA from Cinara cedri, 1775 nucleotides. The record is from the annotation of a GenBank genome assembly. NCBI's taxonomy places the organism in Eukaryota, Metazoa, Arthropoda, Insecta, Hemiptera, Aphididae.